UGAGGAAUAUUGCGCAAUGGACGAAAGUCUGACGCAGCCAUGCCGCGUGCAGGAUGACGGCCCUAUGGGUUGUAAACUGCUUUUGUAUGGGAAUAAACCCUUCUACGUGUAGAAGGCUGAAGGUACCAUAAGAAUAAGCACCGGCUAACUCC
Molecule: ribosomal RNA, 152 nt
Filed under: uncultured Bacteroidota bacterium
Lineage: Bacteria; Pseudomonadati; Bacteroidota
Description: uncultured Bacteroidetes bacterium partial 16S ribosomal RNA
Rfam family: Bacterial small subunit ribosomal RNA
Source: RNAcentral